GGCGGCGUGCUUAACACAUGGCAAGUCGAGCGAUGAAGCUUCUUCGGAAGUGGAUUAGCGGCGGACGGUGAGCAACACGUGGGUAACCUGCCUCAUAGUGGGGGAUAGCCUUUCGAAAGGAAGAUUAAUACCGCAUAAUAUUGUAGUUUCGCAUGAAGCAACAAUUAAAGAUUUAUCGCUAUAAGAUGGACCCGCGGCGCAUUAGCUAGUUGGUGGGGUAACGGCCUACCAAGGCGACGAUGCGUAGCCGACCUGAGAGGGUGAUCGGCCACAUUGGGACUGAGACACGGCCCAGACUCCUACGGGAGGCAGCAGUGGGGAAUAUUGCACAAUGGGGGAAACCCUGAUGCAGCAACGCCGCGUGAGUGAUGACGGUCUUCGGAUUGUAAAGCUCUGUCUUUAGGGACGAUAAUGACGGUACCUAAGGAGGAAGCCACGGCUAACUACGUG
This 450-nucleotide ribosomal RNA is filed under the name uncultured bacterium. Its description in RNAcentral is "bacterial SSU rRNA". It matches the Rfam family "Bacterial small subunit ribosomal RNA", at positions 38 to 507 of the family's 1533-position model. The record is from RNAcentral.